This 474-nucleotide ribosomal RNA is filed under the name uncultured organism. RNAcentral describes it as "partial 16S ribosomal RNA". It matches the Rfam family "Bacterial small subunit ribosomal RNA", at positions 331 to 797 of the family's 1533-position model. The record is from RNAcentral.
GUACACUCCUACGGGAGGCAGCAGUGGGGAAUAUUGCACAAUGGGCGCAAGCCUGAUGCAGCCAUGCCGCGUGUAUGAAGAAGGCCUUCGGGUUGUAAAGUACUUUCAGCGGGGAGGAAGGCGAUAAGGUUAAUAACCUUGUUGAUUGACGUUACCCGCAGAAGAAGCACCGGCUAACUCCGUGCCAGCAGCCGCGGUAAUACGGAGGGUGCAAGCGUUAAUCGGAAUUACUGGGCGUAAAGCGCACGCAGGCGGUCUGUCAAGUCGGAUGUGAAAUCCCCGGGCUCAACCUGGGAACUGCAUUCGAAACUGGCAGGCUAGAGUCUUGUAGAGGGGGGUAGAAUUCCAGGUGUAGCGGUGAAAUGCGUAGAGAUCUGGAGGAAUACCGGUGGCGAAGGCGGCCCCCUGGACAAAGACUGACGCUCAGGUGCGAAAGCGUGGGGAGCAAACAGGAUUAGAUACCCUAGUAGUCCC